CAUCCUCUGCUGUAUGCGAUAGCAGCUAAGAUCUCCUUGAGCCUAAUCUCCAACCCAGGGGACUUUAUAUGGUACCGGUGUGCAUGUCCGUCAUGUACGGAAAGCCUGAAGGGACCAUUGCUGUCCCCCUCUUGAACCUUUGGUUCAGGGGCAACAGUUGCAACGGUACAAGUGGAGGAUGC
This 182-nucleotide non-coding RNA is filed under the name Gammaproteobacteria bacterium. RNAcentral describes it as "6S RNA". It matches the Rfam family "6S / SsrS RNA". From Rfam's summary of the family: E. coli 6S RNA was the first non coding RNA to be sequenced, but its function was unknown until recently. The record is from RNAcentral. Lineage: Bacteria; Pseudomonadati; Pseudomonadota; Gammaproteobacteria.